Pteropus alecto (black flying fox) is the source of this 1144-nucleotide long non-coding RNA. RefSeq lists it as uncharacterized. The transcript is spliced from 3 exons. The record is from RefSeq and is a predicted model, not a curated record. Lineage: Eukaryota; Metazoa; Chordata; Mammalia; Chiroptera; Pteropodidae.
UUGUCCGUUUUUAUAUCUCUACAAAGGCCGAAGAUGGUGCUUUUCAACGGCUCUUUGCCUUAUUGAUGCGUAUUUCCAAUCUUUGUCAAUAUAAAAAUGCACAGCUAGCAGACUCUCUUCCUUGCUGGCUCUGAUGGAGUAGCUUACUGUGAUGGAGAAGCCCACAAGGCAAGGAACCAAGGGAAGCCUCUGAAGUCCUCAUCCAACAACCUGAAAAGAAUUGAACACUAACCAUGACACAGGGAGAAGACAGCAUCUGAGAAACCAAGAAGUGGGCCCUCACCAAAUACCAAAUAUGCCAACAUCUUUAUCUUGGACUUCCCAGCCUCUAGUACUAUAAUAAAUGUUUUUGUUUAAGCAACCCAGUCUAUGAUAUUUUUGUUGUAGCAGCCAAGAAAGACACUGUAUAUAAUUUUCUGAACAAAAAUACAUUAGAAAUUAGAAUUAGAAAAAAUUUUAAAAUAUUGAAUAACAUUCCCUAAUCUCAACUGGGUAACAUAUCUCAAGACCUGUAGAAAGGAUGCUACAUCACAAAUGAUCCUCCAUACCUUAUAUCAUUUCCCUCUAAAAUAACCGUAAGAUACAGUGAUAACUGCUAAGGAAGCUGUAUCCAUCUUAUUCUUAGAAUCUUUGCGAAGAAUCUAUUAUUUUUCUAUGUUUCUCCCAUCAUUUAAGAUUUUUAAGUAGAUAAAAUUUCAUUGCAUUGCUACUUAUAAACUCAGCUACUCAUGAAAAAAAGUCACAAUAGAAACAUCAUUUAAAAAAUAGGGAAGAUAAUGCAGUUAUGAAAGAGACAAUAAGUUAUGUCACUUGUAGGCAACUAUGUUUAGGAUACAACAUGAAGGACAUUAACUCCCAAGAUUUUUACCACUGAGUAAUUGGGCAACAUAUAUUAAGUCUAAUAUAUGUGCAUUAACUUGACCCACCAAUUCCAUGUGUAAAAUAUACCCUAAAGAACUCCUAAAACACUUGUGAGACUUGUCAAGAGCACUGCUUGAUAGCUGAAAAUUGGAAACAAUGUCAGAUAAUAGGAAAUGGGUAUAUUCAUUCAAUAUAUUUAUUAAGAUGGACGUAUGCAUACUAUAUAUGUCAAGUUUAAAAAUCAGGUUAUUGAAUAAUGUAUAUCAUUCCUUUAAAAAAAUAA